RNAcentral lists this ribosomal RNA (1460 nucleotides) under Enterobacter asburiae. RNAcentral describes it as "bacterial SSU rRNA". It matches the Rfam family "Bacterial small subunit ribosomal RNA". Lineage: Bacteria; Pseudomonadati; Pseudomonadota; Gammaproteobacteria; Enterobacterales; Enterobacteriaceae. The record is from RNAcentral. RNAcentral also lists the same sequence under 1 other name.
GGGUGACGAGCGGCGGACGGGUGAGUAAUGUCUGGGAAACUGCCUGAUGGAGGGGGAUAACUACUGGAAACGGUAGCUAAUACCGCAUAACGUCGCAAGACCAAAGAGGGGGACCUUCGGGCCUCUUGCCAUCAGAUGUGCCCAGAUGGGAUUAGCUAGUAGGUGGGGUAACGGCUCACCUAGGCGACGAUCCCUAGCUGGUCUGAGAGGAUGACCAGCCACACUGGAACUGAGACACGGUCCAGACUCCUACGGGAGGCAGCAGUGGGGAAUAUUGCACAAUGGGCGCAAGCCUGAUGCAGCCAUGCCGCGUGUAUGAAGAAGGCCUUCGGGUUGUAAAGUACUUUCAGCGGGGAGGAAGGUGUUGAGGUUAAUAACCUCAGCAAUUGACGUUACCCGCAGAAGAAGCACCGGCUAACUCCGUGCCAGCAGCCGCGGUAAUACGGAGGGUGCAAGCGUUAAUCGGAAUUACUGGGCGUAAAGCGCACGCAGGCGGUCUGUCAAGUCGGAUGUGAAAUCCCCGGGCUCAACCUGGGAACUGCAUUCGAAACUGGCAGGCUAGAGUCUUGUAGAGGGGGGUAGAAUUCCAGGUGUAGCGGUGAAAUGCGUAGAGAUCUGGAGGAAUACCGGUGGCGAAGGCGGCCCCCUGGACAAAGACUGACGCUCAGGUGCGAAAGCGUGGGGAGCAAACAGGAUUAGAUACCCUGGUAGUCCACGCCGUAAACGAUGUCGACUUGGAGGUUGUGCCCUUGAGGCGUGGCUUCCGGAGCUAACGCGUUAAGUCGACCGCCUGGGGAGUACGGCCGCAAGGUUAAAACUCAAAUGAAUUGACGGGGGCCCGCACAAGCGGUGGAGCAUGUGGUUUAAUUCGAUGCAACGCGAAGAACCUUACCUACUCUUGACAUCCAGAGAACUUUCCAGAGAUGGACUGGUGCCUUCGGGAACUCUGAGACAGGUGCUGCAUGGCUGUCGUCAGCUCGUGUUGUGAAAUGUUGGGUUAAGUCCCGCAACGAGCGCAACCCUUAUCCUUUGUUGCCAGCGGUUAGGCCGGGAACUCAAAGGAGACUGCCAGUGAUAAACUGGAGGAAGGUGGGGAUGACGUCAAGUCAUCAUGGCCCUUACGAGUAGGGCUACACACGUGCUACAAUGGCGCAUACAAAGAGAAGCGACCUCGCGAGAGCAAGCGGACCUCAUAAAGUGCGUCGUAGUCCGGAUUGGAGUCUGCAACUCGACUCCAUGAAGUCGGAAUCGCUAGUAAUCGUAGAUCAGAAUGCUACGGUGAAUACGUUCCCGGGCCUUGUACACACCGCCCGUCACACCAUGGGAGUGGGUUGCAAAAGAAGUAGGUAGCUUAACCUUCGGGAGGGCGCUUACCACUUUGUGAUUCAUGACUGGGGUGAAGUCGUAACAAGGUAACCGUAGGGGAACCUGCGGUUGGAUCACCUCCUUACCUUAAAGAA